ACUGUAAAGGAGAAAUGCUUAAAGAGUUUAGUGCAUGUUUGUAGAGCAGCUGCUGAAGAAAUCUGGAACAAAGAGAUGUAAAGAAGAUGACAAUUAGCAUAUGGGGAGUCCACAAGACAUUUUGAUGUGAAAUGUGGGUCCUUCUUCUUGACAAGGGAUGCACACCUACCUGACCUCCAAACAGAGACAUCAACAUAGAAACCUCCGCAGAGAUAACCAGAUCUCCAUAUUGCAAGCCCAUGCAAAAAGUAACCUAGAGAAACAGACGCCUGGAUGAAGAGGGGUGUGAGUACAAGCUUUGCAGAUGGAGCUACUGCCUGGAAGGACUCAGUGUGCUUCAGUGGCUGAUGCCCACUCCUCAAAAAACAAAACCAAACCCAAAACAACAAGUGGUGUAGAGAGAAACAAGAAUUACCAAAAGGGAAAAUUA
Molecule: long non-coding RNA, 430 nt
Organism: Macaca mulatta (Rhesus monkey)
Lineage: Eukaryota; Metazoa; Chordata; Mammalia; Primates; Cercopithecidae
Source: RefSeq, a predicted model, not a curated record